Molecule: long non-coding RNA, 155 nt
Organism: Protobothrops mucrosquamatus (brown spotted pit viper)
Lineage: Eukaryota; Metazoa; Chordata; Lepidosauria; Squamata; Viperidae
Exons: 5
Source: RefSeq, a predicted model, not a curated record
GCAUCUACAGUGUCUGGAGUAAUUCCCUUGCCAAGUGAACUUUCAGCAACAGUUCAUCUUGAAGAAACAAGUGGUUUGAGGGAAACAACUUUUGCUCCACCUACUCCAGCUCAACCUGGUAUCAAAACAACUACCACAGCAACCACACCAGAAGU